RNAcentral lists this ribosomal RNA (210 nucleotides) under Nectriaceae sp. RNAcentral's name for it is "partial large subunit ribosomal RNA". The record is from RNAcentral. Lineage: Eukaryota; Fungi; Ascomycota; Sordariomycetes; Hypocreales; Nectriaceae.
AAGCGCUUAUGACCAGACUUGUGCCGGGCGGAUCAUCCUGUGUUCUCACUGGUGCACUCCGUCCGGUUCAGGCCAGCAUCGGUUCGCUGUGGGGGAUAAAGGCUUUGGGAAUGUGGCUCCUCCGGGAGUGUUAUAGCCCAUUGUGUAAUACCCUGUGGUGGACUGAGGUUCGCGCAUCUGCAAGGAUGCUGGCGUAAUGGUCAUCAGCGA